This 500-nucleotide ribosomal RNA is filed under the name uncultured bacterium. RNAcentral's name for it is "partial 16S ribosomal RNA". It matches the Rfam family "Bacterial small subunit ribosomal RNA", at positions 30 to 523 of the family's 1533-position model. The record is from RNAcentral.
AUUGAACGCUGGCGGAAUGCUUUACACAUGCAAGUCGAACGGCAGCACGGACUUCGGUCUGGUGGCGAGUGGCGAACGGGUGAGUAACAUAUCGGAACGUAUCCAAUAAUGGGGGAUAACUAAUCGAAAGGUUGGCUAAUACCGCAUACGCCCUACGGGGGAAAGCAGGGGAUCUUCGGACCUUGCGUUAAUGGAGCGGCUGAUAACUGAUAAGCAAGUUGGUGAGGUAAAGGCUCACCAAGGCGACGAUCAGUAGCUGGUCUGAGAGGACGACCAGCAACACUGGAACUGAGACACGGUCCAGACUCCUACGGGAGGCAGCAGUGGGGAAUUUUGGACAAUGGGCGCAAGCCUGAUCCAGCCAUUCCGCGUGAGUGAAGAAGGCCUUCGGGUUGUAAAGCUCUUUCGCAAGGGAAGAAAACUUACUUUCUAAUAAAGAGUGAGGUUGACGGUACCUUGAUAAGAAGCACCGGCUAACUACGUGCCAGCCGCCGCCGUAA